RNAcentral lists this ribosomal RNA (254 nucleotides) under uncultured bacterium. RNAcentral describes it as "partial 16S ribosomal RNA". It matches the Rfam family "Bacterial small subunit ribosomal RNA", at positions 524 to 776 of the family's 1533-position model. The record is from RNAcentral.
UACGGGGGGGGCAAGCGUUGUUCGGAAUUACUGGGCGUAAAGGGCUCGUAGGCGGCCAACUAAGUCAGACGUGAAAUCCCUCGGCUUAACCGGGGAACUGCGUCUGAUACUGGAUGGCUUGAAUCCGGGAGAGGGAUGCGGAAUUCCAGGUGUAGCGGUGAAAUGCGUAGAUAUCUGGAGGAACACCGGUGGCGAAGGCGGCGUCCUGGACCAAUACUGACACUGAGUGAGCGAAAGCCAGGGGAGCAAACGGG